GCGCCCAUGGCUUAACGGAUAGAGCAUCUGACUACGGAUCAGAAGGUUGGGGGUUCGAAUCCCUCUGGGCGCGCCA
RNAcentral lists this transfer RNA (76 nucleotides) under Propionibacterium freudenreichii. RNAcentral describes it as "tRNA-Arg(acg)". It matches the Rfam family "tRNA". From Rfam's summary of the family: Transfer RNA (tRNA) molecules are approximately 80 nucleotides in length. Their secondary structure includes four short double-helical elements and three loops (D, anti-codon, and T loops). RNAcentral also lists the same sequence under 3 other names. The record is from RNAcentral. Lineage: Bacteria; Bacillati; Actinomycetota; Actinomycetes; Propionibacteriales; Propionibacteriaceae.